This 468-nucleotide ribosomal RNA is filed under the name uncultured bacterium. RNAcentral's name for it is "partial 16S ribosomal RNA". It matches the Rfam family "Bacterial small subunit ribosomal RNA", at positions 28 to 507 of the family's 1533-position model. The record is from RNAcentral.
GACGAACGCUGGCGGCGUGCUUAACACAUGCAAGUCGAACGGAAAGGCCCUGCUUUUGUGGGGUGCUCGAGUGGCGAACGGGUGAGUAACACGUGUGUAACCUGCCCUUGACUUUGGGAUAACUUCAGGAAACUGGGGCUAAUACCGGAUAGGAGCUCCUGCUGCAUGGUGGGGGUUGGAAAGUUUCGGCGGUUGGGGAUGGACUCGCGGCUUAUCAGCUUGUUGGUGGGGUAGUGGCUGACCAAGGAGUUGACGGGUAGCCGGCCUGAGAGGGUGACCGGCGACAAUGGGGCUGAGGUGCGGCCCAGAUUCCUACGGGAGGCAGCAGUGGGGAGUAUUGCACAAUGGGCGGAAGCCUGAUGCAGCAACGCCGCGUGCGGGAUGACGGCCUUCGGGUUGUAAACCGCUUUCGCCUGUAACGAAGCGUGAGUGACGGUAAUGGGUAAAGAAGCACCGGCUAACUACGUG